UUUCGCAAUGCCCGAAAGGGUGACGAAGCGACGCCGCGUGUGGGAAGAAGGCCUUCGGGUUGUAAACCACUGUAGGGAGUUAGGAAAUGCAGGUGCGUUAAUAGCGCACUUGCUUGACUAAGGCUCCAGAGGAAGCCACGGCUAACUCUGUGCCAGCAGCCGCGGUAAUACAGAGGCGGCAAGCGUUGUUCGGAAUUAUUGGGCGUAAAGAGCACGUAGGCGGCUGUGUAAGUCGGUUGUGAAAGCCUUCCGCUUAACGGAAGAACGGCAUCCGAUACUACAUAGCUCGAGUGCGGGAGGGGAGAGUGGAACUCCUGGUGGAGCGGUGAAAUGCGUAGAUAUCAGAAGGAACACCGGCGGCGAAGGCGACUCUCUGGCCCGUAACUGACGCUGAGUGUGCGAAAGCUAGGGGAGCAAACGGGAUUAGAUACCCCGGUAGUCCUAGCCGUAAACGAUGGGCACUAAGUAGAGGGGUUUU
This 478-nucleotide ribosomal RNA is filed under the name uncultured Planctomycetales bacterium. RNAcentral's name for it is "bacterial SSU rRNA". It matches the Rfam family "Bacterial small subunit ribosomal RNA", at positions 364 to 832 of the family's 1533-position model. The record is from RNAcentral. Lineage: Bacteria; Pseudomonadati; Planctomycetota; Planctomycetia; Planctomycetales.